CCUACGCGUGGCAGCAGUGGGGGAUAUUGCACAAUGGGGGCAACCCUGAUGCAGCGACGCCGCGUGUGGGAAGACGGUCCUCUGGAUUGUAAACCACUGUCCCCAGGGACGAAGAUGAAGGUAUCUGGGGAUGAAGCUCCGGCUAACUAAGUGCCAGCAGCCCCGGUAAUCCGUAGGGAGCGAGCGUUGUCCGGAAUUACUGGGGGUAAAGGGAGCGUAGGCGGGACUGCAAGGUGAGUGUCAAAUCUACCGGCUCAACCGGUAGCCGCACUCAAAACUGCAGUUCUUGAGUGAAGUAGAGGCAGGCAGAAUUCCUAGUGUAGCGGUGAAAUGCGUAGAUAUUAGGAGGAACACCAGUGGCGAAGGCGGCCUGCUGGGCUUUUACUGACGCUGAGGCUCGAAAGUGUGGGGAGCAAACAGGAUUAGAUACCCUUGUAGUC
Molecule: ribosomal RNA, 440 nt
Filed under: uncultured bacterium
Lineage: Bacteria
Description: partial 16S ribosomal RNA
Rfam family: Bacterial small subunit ribosomal RNA
Source: RNAcentral